Molecule: non-coding RNA, 31 nt
Filed under: Homo sapiens (human)
Lineage: Eukaryota; Metazoa; Chordata; Mammalia; Primates; Hominidae
Source: RNAcentral
CNCCUAAUUGCCAUUAGAAUACGGAUGAUGA